Molecule: long non-coding RNA, 1145 nt
Organism: Capsicum annuum
Lineage: Eukaryota; Viridiplantae; Streptophyta; Magnoliopsida; Solanales; Solanaceae
Exons: 3
Source: RefSeq, a predicted model, not a curated record
AGAUGAGAUGUAUACAUUCUAUAUAUAAACUCUUUUUUGUUCUUGACAAAUGGAGAGUUAGAUGCAACAACAACUCUUUCUAUCAAAAUACACAAAGAAAAAUGACUAAAUGGGUAAAAACAAUCACCACUCCAUUUAGAAAAGCUAGAACAUUUUUCAAUAAUAAUCAACAAUCACCAAGGGAUUCACCAAGGGAAAAGAAGUCACAAGAAGAAGAUCAAGAUAAACAUGUAGUAGAUUUGCAGGGUGAAGUAAUGGCUUGUGGAUAUGAAGAUGUUCAAGUGAUGUGGUCAAUUUUGGACAAAUCCAAAGCCAUCAAAACAUAAAUAGUUUGUUUUGUUUGGAACUAAAUCCAAGGCACAUAUUGUACAUAUUUUUUAUCAUUAUCUUGUUCAUGUGGUGGCUAAACUGACGCCCAAAAUGCAAGAUUUUGAAAAUUUUGAUGAUGUUCUAUACAUAGCCCCUCCCCUCCCCACACACCCCACCCCCUAAAAAAAAAAGAAAGAAGAAAAAGCACAUAGUAACAAGAAUUAUUUUUGCUAUUUGGCUAAUUUCCAUGAUCAAUGAAAAGCAUGGAAAGAUGCCUGUAUUUGAUUUGCAUUUAUUUCUAGAUUCAGUAAUCAAAUAUACAUUCAUUUUAUGUAGUCUCUGCACACCUCCGUUACCUUUUAGGAGGCGUAUGUUCCGUAAAAAUUGUCUAUUUGAAUGUGUUGCUUAGUGCGCUUUAAGUGCUGAGCGUGAAAGGUUUCUCUUUCCUUUCGAUUUGUUCACUGAUCUGAAAUUUAGCAUUUGUUUUCUUAUUGAUUUUUGGAGUGGUGACAUUUUUGCAUGAAGUCUAUCCAGAUCGAAUUAGCACUUCUCUUAUCAGGUUAGGCCUUUUCAACCGAGCUGCAUACCGGGCCCUGGAUAUGCCUGUGGCUGACAUAUAGAUCAGGCUAGGCCUCUUCAGCUGAACUGGACAUCGAGGCCCUAGAUACGCUUGCGGCUAACACAUGGGGAAUGCUUGCCCCACUUUGCAGUAUUAUUAUGAAAUUAUGUGACUAGAAAUCACACCUAUGAUCAAAGUUAUGUACUCUAUAUAACAUAGGACUCAUCCACACAAGUAAUGGUAAUCCAUAUUAAACAAAAUAAUUCCACAAAGUGAC